This is an unclassified non-coding RNA of Bison bison bison, 310 nucleotides long. Its record names the gene 7SK. It matches the Rfam family "7SK RNA". From Rfam's summary of the family: 7SK was discovered as an abundant small nuclear RNA in the mid-70s but a possible function has only recently been suggested. Two independent studies have found that 7SK RNA binds the CDK9/cyclin T complex (known as elongation factor P-TEFb). P-TEFb activates transcription by phosphorylating the C-terminal domain of RNA polymerase II. The record is from Ensembl. NCBI's taxonomy places the organism in Eukaryota, Metazoa, Chordata, Mammalia, Artiodactyla, Bovidae.
GGAUGUGAGAGCAACCUGGCUGCGACAGCUGUCACCCCACUGAUGGCCAGGGCUGGUUUGGCUGGUCUGGCCAGCAGGUGGGUGUCCCCUUCCUGCCUCACUGCUCCACGUGCAACCCCCCCCAAAGGUGGGCUUUCGGUGGGAGAGGAUCACCUUCCCGGACAGAGGAGGACUGUUAUUUGGUCAUAGGUGUAGGAGUAGCUGUGCUGCCCUGCUAGAACCUCCAAACGAGCUCUCAAAGACUGAUUUCUAUAGAAGCGAUAUAAAAUGAAACCUUGAAAUUAUAUCACGACAUGUGUUGGCUUUUAUA